UACGGAGGGUGCAAGCGUUAUCCGGAUUCACUGGGUUUAAAGGGUGCGUAGGCGGGCAGGUAAGUCAGUGGUGAAAUCUUCGAGCUUAACUCGGAAACUGCCGUUGAUACUAUCUGUCUUGAAUAACGUUGAGGUGAGCGGAAUAUGUCAUGUAGCGGUGAAAUGCUUAGAUAUGACAUAGAACACCGAUUGCGAAGGCAGCUCACUAAACGCUCAUUGGCGCUGAGGCACGAAAGCGUGGGGAUCAAACAGGAUUAGAAACCCGGGUAGU
This 271-nucleotide ribosomal RNA is filed under the name uncultured bacterium. Its description in RNAcentral is "partial 16S ribosomal RNA". It matches the Rfam family "Bacterial small subunit ribosomal RNA", at positions 524 to 794 of the family's 1533-position model. The record is from RNAcentral.